ACCGUUGUAGAAUGUUGAGUUUUCUACAUCGGUCACAACUAAAGGACCGAUGUAGAAUGUUCAACAUUCUACAUCGUU
RNAcentral lists this microRNA precursor (78 nucleotides) under Glycine max (soybean). Its description in RNAcentral is "miR5377b stem-loop (gma-MIR5377b)". The record is from miRBase by way of RNAcentral. Lineage: Eukaryota; Viridiplantae; Streptophyta; Magnoliopsida; Fabales; Fabaceae.